CAGGGUCUCUCAAACAAAUCCAGAACUCACUGAUAUGGCUAGUCUUGCUAGCCUGCUUGCUCUAGGGUUCUCCUGUCUCUGCCUUCCAAGACUGGAAGUUACAGGUGGACUGCUACAUCUACAGGAAUUUAUGUGGGUUUCUGGAGUUCUGAACUUUGGUACUUAUGCUUAUGUGGCAAUUGCUUUAACUGAUGAACCAUCUCCCAGCCCCCAAAUCUUUCUGUUCUAGAGGGAAUGGAUCUUUUGCCUCCAGACUCAUCUUUCUAAACUGCUUUAUGAUGUAAUCAAACAGUACCUGAUGCCCAGCAAAGCAGGACACGAUAUGCAGGCUGCACUCUGAUGUGGUUGUGAUUUCUAUUUGCAUUUGUGGCUUGCUCACAGUAAUUUUUUUUGGGCCUGCCUGCCGCUCCUGGGCCCUGGAGCACCCUUGACCCCUGGAACAGAGAAGCAUGCACCCCCAAAGAGUUUCCUGGGUCUCCUUCCGGGAGGCCAAAAAGGACUGUGGAGCCCCAGACUGGAGUCUCUCACCAGGUGAAGUGAGACAUAGAACCAGACUGGACAUCGUGACCAGGAAGCAGGAGAUCUCCCAGGGCCUGAGGCUUUGCUGUCACAAGACUCUAAACCCUACCGACUUCGCAUGCUGGCCAGUCUGACCCUGUGUCCCAUGUGCUUGUGUUUCUACCUCCCACUUUUUCUAAGUUCCUGCAUACUACUUUGGGAGAGAGUUAACUGCAAAUAACUGUAAUUAAAUCAUACUCAUGAAAACUAUUUUAUUAUACUCUUUAUGCUUUUGGUAUUGUCAGUCUUUAAAUGGUCUUUAAUAAUGGAUCAAUUUUGUAUUGCCUUAUUAAGACCAAAUAUUUCUUGUGAUCUCCUUUAAUGGAAUUGUCUUUAAAACUUUUUAAGCAUUAGCUUGUUUUAAUCGUACUGUAACUUUUGGUUGUGGUUAGCUUUGAGUACAAAUGAAUGUAUAAGUCUGUUAUCCAUCACUUGUUGAGUUUGAAACCCAAUUGGGAAUAUUUGUCAUAUUAGAAUGUAAAUGACAUUUCUGAAAAUGCUUUCUUCAAGUAAAAAUCCUUAUGUUUAGCAUCAAUGUGUGUGACUCUGUUGAGUACAGCCAUUUCUGAGAUGAGAUUCUGUGUGCGUGUGUGUGUGUGUGCAUGCAUGUAUGUGUGUAUGUAUGUGUGUGUGUGUGUAGUUCUGUUGGCUUUUAAGAAUUUCUUUUACAUACACUUAUGAAAUAUUGAAGACCAAUCAGACCAUUAAUGGAAACUUAAUGCAACUUUUGUAAUGAAAAUAAUACUAUAAAGUAAAACUAAAACAUAUCAUUGAAAUUAAUUUUCAAUAUGCUCAUAUUUUAAUUUACAAUGGAAAAAUACAUUCCACAACUGGAGACUCACAGUGCUGUGUAAACCGUGAAAGAUCUUAUAUGUUACUAUUCUGACUGUUUUAAAUUUUAGAGUCACAUUUUAUUCUGAU
Nannospalax galili (Upper Galilee mountains blind mole rat) is the source of this 1479-nucleotide long non-coding RNA. RefSeq lists it as uncharacterized. The transcript has 3 exons. The record is from RefSeq and is a predicted model, not a curated record. Lineage: Eukaryota; Metazoa; Chordata; Mammalia; Rodentia; Spalacidae.